ACACAAUGAUACUUAGAGAAACACCAAACCAAUGAAUCAUUACUCAACCCUUCCUUAUGAAAUGCAGGUACAAAGAGAUGAGAAGAGGAAGACCCCCACUAAACCGAGUAGCUUGGGAUGGUUCGCUUCGGGUAGACGUUGACAAGAUAUUUGAGAUGCUGGAGAGACUCAUUGCUGCCCAGCAGGGUCGAGAAGAGAUAAGGGAGCUACCCGACCCUCCCCCGCUGCCAUAGGUUGAGCC
RNAcentral lists this long non-coding RNA (241 nucleotides) under Carica papaya (papaya). Its description in RNAcentral is "long non-coding RNA (CPAP_LNC001347)". Lineage: Eukaryota; Viridiplantae; Streptophyta; Magnoliopsida; Brassicales; Caricaceae. The record is from RNAcentral.